CCUACGGGUGGCAGCAGUGGGGAAUAUUGCACAAUGGGGGAAACCCUGAUGCAGCGACGCCGCGUGAGUGAAGAAGUAUUUCGGUAUGUAAAGCUCUAUCAGCAGGGAAGAAGAAAGAGGGAACCGGACAAAGAAGCCCGGGCAAAGUACGUGCAAGCAGCCGGGGAAAUACGUAGGGGGCAAGCGUUAUCCGGAUUUACGGGGGGUAAGGGGAGCGUAGAGGGCUGUGCAAGUCGGAAGGGAAAGCCGAGGGCUCAACCCGGGGACUGCUUUGGAAACUGUGGGGCUAGAGUGCGGGAGAGGUAAGUGGAAUUCCUAGUGUAGCGGUGAAAUGCGUAGAUAUUAGGCGGAACACCAGUGGCGAAGGCGGCUUACUGGACUGUAACUGACGUUGAGGCUCGAAAGCGUGGGGAGCAAACAGGAUUAGCUACCCCUGUAGUC
Molecule: ribosomal RNA, 441 nt
Filed under: uncultured bacterium
Lineage: Bacteria
Description: partial 16S ribosomal RNA
Rfam family: Bacterial small subunit ribosomal RNA
Source: RNAcentral